Molecule: long non-coding RNA, 392 nt
Filed under: Triticum aestivum (bread wheat)
Lineage: Eukaryota; Viridiplantae; Streptophyta; Magnoliopsida; Poales; Poaceae
Description: long non-coding RNA (TAES_LNC006371)
Source: RNAcentral
UGGCCCGAGGCCUGGACAGGGUGGCCCGCCCCGUGCUGGUGGACCUGGUGGCGCGCCUGCUGGCGCUGGUGCCGUUCCUGGUGCUCCUGCUCCCCGUGUCUAGUUUGGGAAUGCUUCCGUGAUAUGGAGCCAGCCCUAGUUUUACUCGUCCCUGGAUAUUGAACUAUUCUACCUAGUUUUUGCUGCAAUCGGUUGUACUGAAAGUUGGUUGGUCAAGCACAAUUUGUGAUCAGGUCUUUAUGUUUUGACAAUUUCGCUGCUAUCUAUAUCAGAGAGAACCUUUUGGUUUGUCUGGGGAUGCCCCUUGUUGUUUUGCAUUCAUGCAUCAUAUCAUCUUUUAGUUCUCUCAAGACUGAUUUGAAUCCUGUCAGUACUUAAGUCCUCUUAGUAUU